UACAGAGGUGGCAAGCGUUGUUCGGAAUUACUGGGCGUAAAGGGCGCGUAGGCGGCCCGUCAAGUCCCGUGUGAAAGCCCCCGGCUCAACCGGGGAACGGCGCGGGAAACUAGCAGGCUUGAGUUCGGGAGAGGGAAGCGGAAUUCCGGGUGUAGCGGUGAAAUGCGCAGAUAUCCGGAGGAACACCGGUGGCGAAGGCGGCUUCCUGGACCGACACUGACACUGAGGAGCGAAAGCGUGGGGAGCGAACAGG
This 253-nucleotide ribosomal RNA is filed under the name uncultured bacterium. RNAcentral describes it as "partial 16S ribosomal RNA". It matches the Rfam family "Bacterial small subunit ribosomal RNA", at positions 524 to 776 of the family's 1533-position model. The record is from RNAcentral.